This is a non-coding RNA of Desulfitibacter sp. BRH_c19, 37 nucleotides long. The record is from Rfam. Lineage: Bacteria; Bacillati; Bacillota; Clostridia; Neomoorellales; Desulfitibacteraceae.
GCUACAGAAGAAGUUCCAAUAAAACAAGGAUUGAAAC